Molecule: long non-coding RNA, 2161 nt
Organism: Aedes aegypti (yellow fever mosquito)
Lineage: Eukaryota; Metazoa; Arthropoda; Insecta; Diptera; Culicidae
Exons: 3
Source: RefSeq, a predicted model, not a curated record
GUAGAAUUAAAACACGAAAAAAAGGCUAUGAAUUUAUCUUCACGAAAAUUACAAUAAGCUAAAAAAAAAAAACACGUAUGAAAUUGAUUUCAUUAAACCGGUUAAACAACAUAGAUAUGUAAAUAAAUCUUCUGUAAAUAGUACACAAUUAGCGCUUUAAUGCUAUUCGAACACUUUCUUCAUUUCCAGAAUUAUUAGAUGUAGGUCUGUUCGUACAAAGUUCGCAGCAUAAGUAGGUGAUGUAAACAAAGCAGCAUAGAAGUUCACUCAUCUCUGCCUGUUUGUAUGCGUAAAUCAUCGACAUGCACCUUUCCUUCUCCGCACAGUAGCAUAAUGAAAGCGGUUGGAAUUGAUAACUUCCAAUCAUAUUUUUUUUCCUCUUCACUGAAAUAGAAAGUAAUUAGCUUAGUAAAUGAGAUAAACUUAAAUAGAAAGUAACUCCCCAGGUUUAAUCGAUGAGUUGAAGAUAGUUUUUCGAAGAAAUCCAAGGCUCUCAAAGCGGACACGUUCCUUUUUUAUGUUAUGCUUUUGAAUGACGUUUCGUUUCUUAACGUCACAGUCGGUGUUGGUUUUCAUCGCUCUGUCAGAUGUAAUGCAGGGGUGAACACAAUGCUGUCAGUUUGGACAUGCGAUGUUUUUUCGAGCUCUCAGUCUGUCAGAGACAGUUUAAGUAACAAUCUAUGUGGUGGUCAACAUAAAUUGAUGAAAUAGAAUGUUAUGGUUUCAGUUCGUUAGUUAAAAGGGCAGGACGUCAACAAACUAGUCAAUUUAGGGUUGAUACGGUUGAUAAAUCGCAAUUUUUUAUAGCAAGAGUAUGUGUGCCAUUACAUGGGUCGAUAAUAAUCGAUGAAUGGAAUAUACUCAGUGCUGAGUUUACGUUACGUUUUAUGUGUUUAUUGAAUUGUUUAUGAAUCUACAGGGGCAUUGGAAAAAUAAUCAAUGGAGUAGAUAAUAUAUAUAGUAUCUGAACAACGUCAGAUGAACAGCAUUGUUUGGCCCCGCGUUAAACUGAAAGAGAAAUGAUAAUAAUCUGGUGAAGCAAUUGGAAUCGUAUAAAAACAAACUAUAUUUUUUAUAGAUAUAAAUUGCGUUGAACAAAAUGUUUGGAGUUAUGAAAAUUUGAUCAAUCUCAAAUUGAUCAAAUUUUCAUAAAACUGGGUCGUGUGAUGUAACGUUAUCUGGAACGUUUGUUAGUUUAGGAAGACUUUCUCUGAGAAAUAAUUAGUUCAUUGAGUAAAAAUUAUUCUUGCCGCGGAUUUACAAUAAUUAUACAGCAAAUUUAGAAUUUUAAGAACCAUUUAUAUAUUAGCCUCAAAGUUUACCAUAAAAGCUUGCCUUGAGCUUUGUACUAAAAAUAGUUAAGAGAUUAAACGUAGAUGGCAUACGAAACAGGAAUAAAAUCAACUGUGGUAUUUGUCUAAACUUUUAAGUUGAAUAGUAUUAGUGAAGGUCAGAAUUAAUGAGACAUCACUUUUGGAGGGUCUUAAACUCAUCUGCUGGACUGAAUCCCCCAUUUUAGAAAGUCGUUGGCUAGAGUACAGAAGCUAGUCACUGUGUCUCUACCUUUUAAUUUCUGAGUUUAAGUUUUUUUGGAAGUAUACCACAAGUGGCGAAAGCUCUGCGCUCUUGUGUAAUUGAUCAAAAUCUACAAAGCGUCCAACCGACGUUUUUUUGUCCGGAUCAAAGGUCUUUGGACCUCUACACCCGCCAUUUUGUUGGCGCACUACACGUGGAACACUCCGUCGGUACCAACUCGUGAAGGCCCGCCAGUUUUGGCAGUCAAACGGGGCUGAGGAAAACCCAUCCGGCCUGCUUGCGCCUCGUAGUGAUCUGGCAGAGUACCGGAGCCGCCGACGCCCUCUCCCCGCAACUCUACAUCGGCCAAAAGUCCACUGAGCGUACCAGACAGCACCGGCCCUAUAGAUGCGGUCCCCCUAGCCAGUGUGAGACCCCGCUACGUCUCUGCGCCACUGCCUGAAUCAGCGGUCGCCGUUGGCAUGCCCCUCGGUCGGUGAACCGCAUGACGCCCAGCAUAAAACCCUGCGCAGGUUAGUGUAUCAUGGCCAUGAUGAACACACAACAUACAACACAUACACAGACACACACACACUCUAUCUAAAACGAAAAGAUGAAUAUACAUGCAAAAUGAAUUUAAGCUAAA